This 480-nucleotide ribosomal RNA is filed under the name Rhodotorula dairenensis. Its description in RNAcentral is "eukaryotic LSU rRNA". It matches the Rfam family "Eukaryotic large subunit ribosomal RNA", at positions 125 to 620 of the family's 3401-position model. The record is from RNAcentral. Lineage: Eukaryota; Fungi; Basidiomycota; Microbotryomycetes; Sporidiobolales; Sporidiobolaceae.
GCACCUUCGGUGUCCGAGUUGUAAUCUCUAGAAAUGUUUUCCGCGUUGGACCGCACACAAGUCUGUUGGAAUACAGCGGCAUAGUGGUGAGACCCCCGUAUAUGGUGCGGACGCCCAGCGCUUUGUGAUACAUUUUCGAAGAGUCGAGUUGUUUGGGAAUGCAGCUCAAAUUGGGUGGUAAAUUCCAUCUAAAGCUAAAUAUUGGCGAGAGACCGAUAGCGAACAAGUACCGUGAGGGAAAGAUGAAAAGCACUUUGGAAAGAGAGUUAACAGUACGUGAAAUUGUUGGAAGGGAAACGCUUGAAGUCAGACUUGCUUGCCGAGCAAUCGGUUUGCAGGCCAGCAUCAGUUUUCCGGGAUGGAUAAUGGUAAAGAGAAGGUAGCAGUUUCGGCUGUGUUAUAGCUCUCUACUGGAUACAUCCUGGGGGACUGAGGAACGCAGUGUGCCUUUGGCGGGGGUUUCGACCUCUUCACACUUAG